Long non-coding RNA from Xenopus laevis (African clawed frog), 1560 nucleotides. RefSeq lists it as uncharacterized. The record is from RefSeq and is a predicted model, not a curated record. NCBI's taxonomy places the organism in Eukaryota, Metazoa, Chordata, Amphibia, Anura, Pipidae. The transcript has 2 exons.
GUUGUAGUUUUACUCUUAUACUUUGUGCAGUUAUUUUUAGUCUCUUUUUAAUUACAAUUAUGUAUUUUUGGGACAAGGGGAAUGAAGGGAUAUGUUAUUUAAAGGGAACGUUCACCUUGGACCAUAUUUUACAUUUGAUCUCCCCUGUGAGAAAAACCCUUUUUGCAAAUCAUCUUUAUUAUUUUAAAUGUUCUGUUUUGAAGCUACAGAGCUGAUUAGCCAGGGAUCAGCCCUAUGGAAAGCAUUUUAGGACAUCAUCAGGAGAACAUGCGCUCUGGUAAAGAAGUAUGUAGACUCCUCUCUUAAGCUGGCCAUAGACCCAAAGAUCCGAUUGCACGAAUUUAGGAUUCUGUUCUUUUUUUUUUUUUUUUUUUACUUUAUUUGAUCUGAAUGGUUAGUGGCAGGUUGGGGGGGGGAAGUACAAUCAUACCUUGAUUUGUAUGAUCAGAUCUUUGCAUCUGUGGCUAACUUUAUUCUACUCACUUAUCCGAAGAAACUGCAGUCACACCUCUGUGCUGCCCACACUUGCUGUUGCUAUCUCCCCCCUUGUGGCUCAUUUCCGUCCUCCCCCCUCCUCAGUCCUAAGCCUGACUUACUAGCUGAGGUCUGAGCACGGAGGGCUGAGGAAUGUGCCACUGGGGGGGGAGAUGUCCUUAAAAUGCUUUCCAUACAGCCCAGAUAUAGUUCUGUCUGUUCUCCGCUCUCUGUAGGGGGGUUUCCAGCCCAGGACUCAAACAAAAAGACCACUCAACUGGCUCUGCUUGUUUCAUUUGCAUAUCUCUGAUGGGAUUGGCUGGUGAGAUUUAGCCAAUUGGAUGAGUGGAAUGCAAAUGAAGCAGGAGAGGCAUGUGCAGUAAUUAGAUCCAUGACCACUUCCUGUAUGGGCAGAAUGGGCUUCAGUGUGGGCGAAUCCAGCAGAGGGUUUUAGCAGCGGUGAUCCACAGCUUCUAUGGCUUUGCAGGUGAGAAGACUUGGGUUGCCGAAUGCCUGGAAUUGGAUUCCAAACUUUUGUCUUCUGAAGACCCAAUGGAGAGUGCCAAGUGGUUGGGCUGUGUAAUAAUAUUUAAUUCUGUGGAUUGUCUCCAGACCUUAGCGACCAUUGCUCGUUCUACAUCUGUAUCAUUAAGAUUAGUAGUGCCCAUACUUAACUAAAAGUAGACCUCAAAUUAAUAAUGUUGUCACAUUAUGAUCUACAUCAUAAAAUAUUGUUAGCAUUCUGGUAACGUUUUAUAACUAUUAUUUCUUAUGUAACUGUAACAUAAUAAAUAUCUAAAUGAAAAUCAUGAAACAUGAGGGUUAUAUAGACAAGCUGUUACUUUAGAUCUACUGAUCACCAGCUAAAGGUCUACUGGUACAUCCUGAUUUAGAUUUAUACAUUAUUGUAGCCCCUCACACACAGCAGGUAUAAAAUAGCUCUAAAAAAAGUUAGUUUAAAACUUAAGUUGUUCAUCAUUGGUUGUUACAUGUUAAUUCAAUUUUUCUAAAAUAUCUUUUCCUUGUAGUAACAGAUAAUGUUGCCUAUUCCUUCUGCACCAAACAAUAAAUGACUUAUUCUCCCAA